CCGGAGUGGACGAACCUCUGGUGUACCGGUUGUCACGCCAGUGGCAUCGCCGGGUAGCUAUGUUCGGAAGAGAUAACCGCUGAAAGCAUCUAAGCGGGAAACUCGCCUUAAGAUGAGAUAUCCCUGGAGGCUAGACCUCCUUGAAGGGUCGUUCGAGACCAGGACGUUGAUAGGUCAGGUGUGUAAGCGCAGUAAUGCGUUCAGCUAACUGAUACUAAUUGCCCGUAAGGCUUGAUCCU
RNAcentral lists this ribosomal RNA (239 nucleotides) under Burkholderia cenocepacia. RNAcentral describes it as "partial 23S ribosomal RNA". It matches the Rfam family "Bacterial large subunit ribosomal RNA", at positions 2692 to 2925 of the family's 2925-position model. The record is from RNAcentral. Lineage: Bacteria; Pseudomonadati; Pseudomonadota; Betaproteobacteria; Burkholderiales; Burkholderiaceae. RNAcentral also lists the same sequence under 1 other name.